GACGAACGCUGGCGGCGUGCCUAAUACAUGCAAGUUGAGCGCUGAAGGUUGGUACUUGUACCGACUGGAUGAGCAGCGAACGGGUGAGUAACGCGUGGGGAAUCUGCCUUUGAGCGGGGGACAACAUUUGGAAACGAAUGCUAAUACCGCAUAAAAACUUUAAACACAAGUUUUAAGUUUGAAAGAUGCAAUUGCAUCACUCAAAGAUGAUCCCGCGUUGUAUUAGCUAGUUGGUGAGGUAAAGGCUCACCAAGGCGAUGAUACAUAGCCGACCUGAGAGGGUGGUCGGCCACAUUGGGACUGAGACAAGGCCCAAACUCCUACGGGAGGCAGCAGUAGGGAAUCUUCGGCAAUGGACGGAAGUCUGACCGAGCAACGCCGCGUGAGUGAAGAAGGUUUUCGGAUCGUAAAACUCUGUUGGUAGAGAAGAACGUUGGUGAGAGUGGAAAGCUCAUCAAGUGACGGUAACUACACAGAAAGGGACGGCUAACUACGUG
RNAcentral lists this ribosomal RNA (497 nucleotides) under uncultured bacterium. RNAcentral describes it as "partial 16S ribosomal RNA". It matches the Rfam family "Bacterial small subunit ribosomal RNA", at positions 28 to 507 of the family's 1533-position model. The record is from RNAcentral.